CGGGAUUGCCUCAGUAACGGCGAGUGAAGCGGCAACAGCUCAAAUUUGAAAUCUGGCCCUUGGGUCCGAGUUGUAAUUUGGAGAGGAUGUUUUGGGUACCGCCACAGUUUAAAUUUCUUGGAACAGAAUGUCAGAGAGGGUGAGAGUCCCGUCUGGAACUGCGGUAGGGCCUAUGUAAAACUCCUUCGACGAGUCGAGUUGUUUGGGAAUGCAGCUCAAAAUGGGUGGUAAAUUUCAUCUAAAGCUAAAUAUUGGCCAGAGACCGAUAGCGCACAAGUAGAGUGAUCGAAAGAUGAAAAGCACUUUGAAAAGAGAGUUAAACAGUAUGUGAAAUUGUUGAAAGGGAAGCGCUUGCAACCAGACUUGUGUGUGGCGGUUCCCCCUUGCUUCUGCUUGGGCUACUCCGUCAUAUCCAGGCCAACAUCGGUUCUAGGGGUCGGUUAAAGGCCUUGGGAAUGUAUCUACCCCCGGGUAGACUUAUAGCCCAGGGUGUCAUGCGGCCUCCCGGGACCGAGGAACACGCCUCGGCGAGGAUGUUGGCGUAAUGGUUGUCAGCGACCCGUCUUGAAACACGGACCAAGGAGUCUAACAUCUAUGCGAGUGUUUGGGUGUCAAACCCGUACGCGAAAUGAAAGUGAACGGAGGUAGGAAGCCUUAAGGCUGCACUAUCGACCGAUCCUGAUAUUUAUGGAUGGAUUUGAGUAAGAGCAUAGCUGUUGGGACCCGAAAGAUGGUGAACUAUGCCUGAAUAGGGUGAAGCCAGAGGAAACUCUGGUGGAGGCUCGCAGCGGUUCUGACGUGCAAAUCGAUCGUCAAAUUUGGGUAUAGGGGCGAAAGACUAAUCGAACCAUUAUAUGAUAGCUACUAGGUGGUUAAGUGUAACCUCAAAGUGGUUGCAAGUGCCUUAUUCUGGCGCGACACUGCUAAAUUGCGGGGACUUCCUAAAGCUAUUGUUACCAAGCCGGCCCUGAAAAGGGACACGGUGGCCGGGGUAAUGACCUAGGGUAUGGUAAAAACACAAUAGAUGUAACAAUGGAUGAUCCGCAGCCAAGUCCUAAGGGCUCUUUUGAGUCUAUGGAUGCAGUUCACAGACUAAAUGGCAGUGGGCUCUAAGCAAAGAUCUUGGGGCUUAAGAUAUAGUCGGUCCCCGGGGAAAGCCCGGGCGCAUACGCUAAAUCUGUGGUACAGAAUGGCCUCCUUAGGGAGGGGUUGCUACAGACCUGAACGGUGCGGGCACU
This 1238-nucleotide ribosomal RNA is filed under the name Chaetothyriales sp. MACp13b. RNAcentral's name for it is "eukaryotic LSU rRNA". It matches the Rfam family "Eukaryotic large subunit ribosomal RNA", at positions 70 to 1401 of the family's 3401-position model. The record is from RNAcentral. Lineage: Eukaryota; Fungi; Ascomycota; Eurotiomycetes; Chaetothyriales.